Molecule: ribosomal RNA, 722 nt
Filed under: uncultured bacterium
Lineage: Bacteria
Description: bacterial SSU rRNA
Rfam family: Bacterial small subunit ribosomal RNA
Source: RNAcentral
CAGCACGGCAGCAAUGCUGGUGGCGACCGGCGCACGGGUGCGUAACGCGUAUGCAACCUACCUUUAACAGUGGGAUAGCCCCGAGAAAUCGGGAUUAAUACCGCAUAACAAUGCGAGCUGGCAUCAGUUUGCAUUUAAAACUCCGGUGGUUAAAGAUGGGCAUGCGUGACAUUAGCUGGUUGGUGAGGUAACGGCUCACCAAGGCUACGAUGUCUAGGGGUUCUGAGAGGAUGAUCCCCCACACUGGUACUGAGACACGGUCCAGACUCCUACGGGAGGCAGCAGUGGGGAAUUUUGGACAAUGGGGGCAACCCUGAUCCAGCCAUUCCGCGUGAGUGAAGAAGGCCUUCGGGUUGUAAAGCUCUUUCAGCAGGAACGAAACGGUCGGCUUUAAUAAAGCCGGCUAAUGACGGUACCUGCAGAAGAAGCACCGGCUAACUACGUGCCAGCAGCCGCGGUAAUACGUAGGGUGCGAGCGUUAAUCGGAAUUACUGGGCGUAAAGCGUGCGCAGGCGGCGACAUAAGACAGAUGUGAAAUCCCCGGGCUCAACCUGGGAACUGCGUUUGUGACUGUGUUGCUAGAGUGUAGCAGAGGGGGGUGGAAUUCCACGUGUAGCAGUGAAAUGCGUAGAGAUGUGGAGGAACACCGAUGGCGAAGGCAGCCCCCUGGGUUAACACUGACGCUCAUGCACGAAAGCGUGGGGAGCAAACAGGAUUAGAUA